RNAcentral lists this long non-coding RNA (496 nucleotides) under Cyanoderma ruficeps (rufous-capped babbler). RNAcentral describes it as "lncRNA (ENSCRFG00000004643.1)". The record is from RNAcentral. Lineage: Eukaryota; Metazoa; Chordata; Aves; Passeriformes; Timaliidae.
AAAAUCUAAGUGACUCUUUACACUAACGUUUAGGGAUGUGUAACAGCAGGAGAUUGCUUCCUGCUAUAAAUUCUUCAUGGCCUGCUACCCUAUCCUACUAAAAGCACACGCAAGCCCUGGGUGAACAUAGGCGUGCAGGAUUUUGCGAGGUGGAAGAUGCUUCAAAAAAACUUGUACUGAAUUUCAGUAGGACCAGGACCAAUUGGUUGGCAAUGCUGCACCCUUUUCUUCAUCCUAAAAUGCUCCUUGGAUUCUAACUGGCAGUAUUGGCUUCGGGAGGAUUACAAGACUGGGGGCAAUGCAUAUGAGGAGCACUGAUACGAAGAAAACUUCCCGAAGGUCAUGCAAAGGCAAACUUGGCUAGUGGGGAAUCGCCUUCCAGAAUAGACCGCAGCCUCAGCCUUCCACUGAAAUAGUUGCACAAGGUGAAUAUGUUAUGAUAGUACUCCUAAGUAUCUGCCAUUAAAGGAGAUUUUUGCUUAUCACCCGGCGCAGU